UCAGCCCAUUUGUCCUCAUGCCU
This 23-nucleotide microRNA is filed under the name Gallus gallus (chicken). Its description in RNAcentral is "gga-miR-12248-5p". The record is from miRBase by way of RNAcentral. Lineage: Eukaryota; Metazoa; Chordata; Aves; Galliformes; Phasianidae.